GGGGGCCUACGGGAGGCAGCAGUGAGGAAUAUUGGUCAAUGGGAGAGAUCCUGAACCAGCCACGCCGCGUGAGGGAAGACGGCCCUAUGGGUUGUAACCCUCUUUUGUCGGAGAGCAAAACCCGGGACGAGUCCCGGACUGCGUGUAUCCGAAGAAAAAGCAUCGGCUAACUCCGUGCCAGCAGCCGCGGUAAUACGGAGGAUGCGAGCGUUAUCCGGAUUUAUUGGGUUUAAAGGGUGCGUAGGCGGUCCGUUAAGUCAGCGGUAAAAUUGCGGGGCUCAACCCCGUCGAGCCGUUGAAACUGG
This 305-nucleotide ribosomal RNA is filed under the name uncultured bacterium. RNAcentral describes it as "bacterial SSU rRNA". It matches the Rfam family "Bacterial small subunit ribosomal RNA", at positions 333 to 636 of the family's 1533-position model. The record is from RNAcentral.